RNAcentral lists this ribosomal RNA (438 nucleotides) under uncultured bacterium. RNAcentral describes it as "bacterial SSU rRNA". It matches the Rfam family "Bacterial small subunit ribosomal RNA", at positions 28 to 505 of the family's 1533-position model. The record is from RNAcentral.
GAUGAACGCUGGCGGCGUGCCUAAUACAUGCAAGUCGAGCGGAAACACUUCGGGUGUCGAGCGGCGGACGGGUGAGUAACACGUAGAAACAUACCCCAAAGUGAGGGAUAAGCCAGAGAAAUUUGGUCUAAUACCGCAUAUGGUCCUUGGAUUAAAGCCUUCGGGCGCUUUGGGAAUGGUCUGCGACAAGAUUAGCUAGUUGGUAGGGUAAAAGCCUACCAAGGCUACGAUCUUUAGCUGGUUUGAGAGGAUGAUCAGCCACACUGGAACUGAGACACGGUCCAGACUCCUACGGGAGGCAGCAGUAGGGAAUCUUCCACAAUGGACGAAAGUCUGAUGGAGCAACGCCGCGUGCAGGAUGAAGGCCUUCGGGUUGUAAACUGCUUUUAUUAGUGAUGAAUAUGACGGUAACUAAUGAAUAAGGGUCUGCUAACUACG